UUCAUCCUUGGAGCCUGGAACCUG
This 24-nucleotide non-coding RNA is filed under the name Mus musculus (house mouse). The record is from RNAcentral. Lineage: Eukaryota; Metazoa; Chordata; Mammalia; Rodentia; Muridae.